AAACAUUACGAUAGACUCGAUAAAUUGUCCUUAAAUUACACGUAUGAUAUAAACAAACAAUGUUUUUAUAUAUCGACUAGUUACUGGAGUUUGUGUUGUUCCACUUUAAUAAUAUUUUAAUUAAUAAUAUUAAAUUUAUUACAUUCCCCUAAACUUCCUUAAUAAUAGUAUCCUUACGCAAAAUGGAACAUUUCUUAUAUGGCAUAUUUUAACUUCUUAAGUAUUCAAUGCCAAAUCGUUCCGUGGAUUCCAAGAAAACGAAAAAAAGAAGAAGAAGAAAUAAAAGAAAUAAAAAAGAAAAAGAAGGGAACGAAGAGAUAUGAAAUUCCUUUAUUAUUAAUUCCAAGUCGGUUGGUGUAAAAUGCAAAAUGUCGGAGACGCCCACCUUCCUUUGGUGACAUUGGCAAGAAUGUUUUCAAGAGCGAUAAAAGCUCCGAGAAUAUCGUAAAUCUUAAAAGAAUGAGCCAUUGAGAAAACAACGCUGCACUCGAGAAAACACGAUAAGAUUGUGCCUUAUGUUCGCGAGAUACGGAACUCCGUUUAAACUUAAAUAUAAAAUUCUUUCAUAUACCCGAUGCUAUAUGCGAUUUCAAAAUGAAGAGAAGAAAAUGAUUUUGUGACGUGAUUCUACGCAAGGAUGCGUCCUCGGAAGUUAACUUGAAGAGAGAAAGAACCGAUAAAAAAGAGAGAGAGAGAGAGAGAGAGCGAUGAGGAAGGAGGAGGGAGUCGUUUGUCGCGGCAGCCAUUCGCUUUCCGCAUGGAGUAUAAAUUAGAAGCGGUGCAACCGUGCGUGCCACGCGCGAUCCGGCACGCCAAGACGAACAAAUAGGCCAAGUGGAAAAGGAUUUGGGUGACUGUAUAUGGUUGCUCUCGACACUGUGUCGAAUCGGACGCGUCCUUCGAUCCCAGAAGAAAUUUUCUUCGGUUUUACUUUCACGAAGAAAGAUCAUCGAUCUCUGGACAUUCUUCUUCUGUUUCUUCUCUCUAAUGUCCAUCCUCGUUCAAGAUCUGUACGAAAUCGAAGGUCAUCUUAUGCAAGCAAGAAAUGACGAUGCAAUAUAGCAUCGAGCAAAAUCUUUUUUAUCCUCUUGAUUAAACAACAAUAAAAUAUAACUUUUAUAGAUAACACCAUUAUAUUCUCUGGAAGUAAUAAUGAAAUGCGACGCAUACGAAAUUCAACGUUUACUCAACAGCGUAUCGUUGUCGACUGAGGACUUGAAGGACGGUGCUGCCUGACAAGGACACUCAUAAAGGUCCUUUCUAAAUGAUAGAUAUCUAUUUUUAACAAUAGCACACCCAGGU
Vespa mandarinia (Asian giant hornet) is the source of this 1302-nucleotide long non-coding RNA. RefSeq lists it as uncharacterized. The record is from RefSeq and is a predicted model, not a curated record. NCBI's taxonomy places the organism in Eukaryota, Metazoa, Arthropoda, Insecta, Hymenoptera, Vespidae.